AUCUGAUUCACACUGCAAGUUGUGUUUGAAUCAAGUGUCGUAUCUGUUCUUAUCAGUUUAAUAUCUGAUACAUCCUUGAUGAGAGGACUUUAUAUUAAAUGGAUUUUUGGGUCUGAGUAUUUAAAUAUUUUUUCCCCCUGUACUUGGCACUGGUGAGGCCACACCUU
Molecule: small nuclear RNA, 167 nt
Filed under: Patagioenas fasciata monilis
Lineage: Eukaryota; Metazoa; Chordata; Aves; Columbiformes; Columbidae
Description: U2 spliceosomal RNA
Rfam family: U2 spliceosomal RNA
About the family: U2 is a small nuclear RNA (snRNA) component of the spliceosome (involved in pre-mRNA splicing). Complementary binding between U2 snRNA (in an area lying towards the 5' end but 3' to hairpin I) and the branchpoint sequence (BPS) of the intron results the bulging out of an unpaired adenosine, on the BPS, which initiates a nucleophilic attack at the intronic 5' splice site, thus starting the first of two transesterification reactions that mediate splicing.
Source: Rfam by way of RNAcentral